Molecule: non-coding RNA, 117 nt
Organism: Beta vulgaris subsp. vulgaris (sugar beet)
Lineage: Eukaryota; Viridiplantae; Streptophyta; Magnoliopsida; Caryophyllales; Amaranthaceae
Source: Rfam
GAAUGGCAUCUAUAAGCAUGAGAUGUUAUCCGAUACAAUCUUCCUACAAAAAUUUCUGCAUUUCCUUUUCGCAGUUCUGAAGUUAAUUCUGCGAGUCUCAAACUGACAGAAACAUUG